Molecule: non-coding RNA, 69 nt
Organism: Carassius auratus (goldfish)
Lineage: Eukaryota; Metazoa; Chordata; Actinopteri; Cypriniformes; Cyprinidae
Source: Ensembl
AAGGCCUUAGCUUAAUAAAAGUAUCUGAUUUGCAAUCAGGAGAUGCGAGUUGAUCUCUCGUAGGUCUUA